Phascolarctos cinereus (koala) is the source of this 2954-nucleotide long non-coding RNA. The record is from Ensembl. NCBI's taxonomy places the organism in Eukaryota, Metazoa, Chordata, Mammalia, Diprotodontia, Phascolarctidae.
CAAAGGGUGCAUCAUGAAUAAAGUCCAGUCAGUUGAAUUUAUCUCUGUUAGGUGGAAUCAUAAAAGAAAAAUAUCAGGAAAAGCACGUUGAGGCCAGAGCGCAUGGAAAACCCUCCAGAGGAUGGGAGGUGUGGAACCCAGAGAGCCGGAGAAGGAGUAUUUGGGACAGGAGACCAGACAAGAUUUAUUGCCUCUUCUGACACUGACCUUGUAGGUGGAAAAGUCAUCAUUGUGCACAUGAGUCAUCAUUACUCCUCAGAGCUGCAGAAAUGCUGGCCAGUGGAAUUUUUUUGCUGUGGAGAGAAGGUUGGAUAAGUCACUUUUUAACUGUAACUUCUCAGUAUAGGACAUCAAUCGUCCAACUUUAUGUUUGAGGAAGUUAUAAGGUUAAAGGGAAGAAAUCUUAUGGGCCAGGGUGGGGAGAUAAGGCUGAAUAUGGACAGGGGGUUAGUGGGGAAUAAGCCCUGUUGAUGUCCUCUCUUCAAAAGGGAGCAGUAGGGCCUAAGACCCUAGUCACUUAGCCUUGUAGUCAACUCCUGAGGAAGACCUCAGCUGAUUCUGGGUAGGACAAACUGCUUAACUUCCUCAGGAAUUAAUAGAUUUCUAUUCCACUUAGGGAGAAUUCUAAGUUUUUUGAAUUCAGAAGGCAAAUCCAUACUAGAUAUCCAUUAUGGUGAAGGUUUUUCAGGAAUUGGUCCCCUAAUAAGCUGGAAACUGAAAGAGACUAGGCUUGGGGUGUCAGUCAUCCUUCUAAAUCAGGCCCCUCAGUGGCCAUCUGGUCUAAUCCCCUUUUUUACAGUUGAGGAAACUGAGGCCCAAAGUCACAUAGGUAGUAAGUGUCAGAGAUGGCAUUUGAACGUAUGUGCUCUGACUCCAGAGCUAGCUCUACCAAGCUGCCUCCUGUAUCUGCCUUCCUUUUACUCCGAAGACUCUCCUGAUUCUUUUGACUCCCCUGGGCCUUAGGGACACUUGAGGGUGGCUUCUUGGCAAACUCUUUAGUGCGGUAAAUUUGACUAUGGUGUUGGACAAAGGCCUGGGACACCUAAGACUUGAUGCCCACCCCCAUCUCCCAUUCCACAAAGUGAGCUUUAUGUGGUUGUGCCAUUGAGAGGGGCAGAGGAGGGGCUACUAUCUACCUGAGGGAAGUGGGGUGGGGCAGAUGUUGAUAACUUAGAGUGGAAAUGUUAACAGUCUUGGGAAAGUGCCCAGACCUGUUGGAAGGAGGGAGAGAGGGAGGGAGAGACCUUAUCAUGGAUUCAGUGAGGCUGCUGGUAACAGAUUUAGGAGUCAUUUAGGAAUAGCUCGGGCACCUAGAUGGUACAUUGGAUAGAGUGCUGGGCCUGAAAUCAGGAAGAUUCAUUUUCCUGAGUUCAAAUCUGGCCUCAGACAUUUACUAGCUGUGUGACCCUGGGCACGUCACUUAACCCUAUUUGCCUCAGUUUCCUCAUAACAUUCCUUAGGGCUAUGAAGUGAAGGUGAUAGAUUUAAGGGAUUAGAUCUAGUAGAUAGAGUGGUUGAGGGACUACAGACAGAGGUUCACAAUACUGUACAGUAGGUAGCAACAACAACAACAAAAACAUUCCAAAGAAUAAGAGCAAGAAAGCAAAACGGUUGUCUGAUGAGGUUUUACAAAUAGCUGAGGAAAGAAAGAAAAAAAGAAAGAAAAAAGAGGAAAGAUGUAUACAACUAAAUUCAGAAUGCCAAAGAGUAGCAAGGAGAGAGAAAAUAGUUUUCUUAAAUGAGCAAGGCAAAGAAAACAAUAGAAUGGGAAAGACAAGAGAUCUCUUCAAGAAAAUUUGAGAUAUCAAGGGAAAGUUUCAUGCAAAAAUAGGCAUGAUAAAAGGCAAAAAUGGUAGGGAUUUAACAGAAGCAGAAGAGAUUAGGAAGAGGUGGCAAGAAUACACAAAAGAACUACAUAAGAGGGGCAGCUAAGUAGAGCAGUGAAUAGAGCACCAGCCCUGGAGUCAGGAGGACCCGAGUUCAAAUCCGGCCUCAGACACAUAACACUCGCUAGCUGUGUGACUCUGGGCAAGUCACUUAACCUCAUUGCCUCACUCCACCCCCCUAAAAAAAAAAGAACUACACAAGAAAGAUCUUGACAUCAUUGAUAACCAGGAUGGUGUAGUUACUUGUCUAGGGCCAGAUAUCCUAGAGAAAGAAGUCAAGUGGGCCCUAGGAAGCAUUGCUAGCAACAAGGCUAGUGGAGGUGUUGGAAUUCCAGCUGAGCUAUUUAAAAUCCUAAAAGAUGAUACUGUUAAAGUACUUCACUCACUAUGCCAGCAAAUUUGGAAAACUUAACAGUGGCCAUUGGAUUGCAAAAUAUAAAUUUAUAUACCAAUCCUAAAGAAGAACAAUGCUAAGCAAUAUUCAAAUUACUUAACAAUUGCGCUCAUUUCAGAUGCCAGCAAAGUUAUCCUUAAGAUCCCUGCAAGCUAGGCUUCAGUAGUGUAUGAACUGAGAAGUACCAGAAGAGCAGGCUGGUUUUUGAAGAGGCAGAGGAACUAGAGACCAAAUUGACAAUCUUAGCUGCAUUAUGGAGAAAGCAAAGCAGUUCCAGAAAGAAAAAAAAAGCAUCUACUUCUGUUUCAUUGACUACACUAAUACCUUUGACUAUGUGGAUCACAACUAAAUGUGGCAAGUCCUCACAGAAAUGGGAGUACCAGAUCAUCUUACUUGUCUCCUGAGGAACCAGCAUGGAGGCCAAGAAGCAACAGUUAAAACCAAACACAGACCAACUGACUGGUUUAAGACUGGAAAAGGAGUAUGACAAGGUGGUAUGUUGUUCUGAUUUGGGCUGGGGGAAGAUACUCAGUCAAUCAGUAAAUCAAGUAUUUACUAAAUACCUACAAAGACAAAAAUGAAACACCCUUGUCCUGAAGGAUUUCACAUCCUAUUAAGGAUAUGUAUACAUACAUAUGAAUAAAAAUAAAAAAAAUACAUCCGAUUAAGUUGUU